RNAcentral lists this ribosomal RNA (420 nucleotides) under uncultured bacterium. RNAcentral describes it as "bacterial SSU rRNA". It matches the Rfam family "Bacterial small subunit ribosomal RNA", at positions 361 to 773 of the family's 1533-position model. The record is from RNAcentral.
AUAUUGCACAAUGGGCGCAAGCCUGAUGCAGCCAUGCCGCGUGUAUGAAGAAGGCCUUCGGGUUGUAAAGUACUUUCAGCGGGGAGGAAGGUGUUGUGGUUAAUAACUGCAGCAAUUGACGUUACUCGCAGAAGAAGCACCGGCUAACUCCGUGCCAGCAGCCGCGGUAAUACGGAGGGUGAAAGCGUUAAUCGGAAUUACUGGGCGUAAAGCGCACGCAGGCGGUUUGUUAAGUCAGAUGUGAAAUCCCCGGGCUCAACCUGGGAACUGCAUUUGAAACUGGCAAGCUUGAGUCUCGUAGAGGGGGGUAGAAUUCCAGGCGUAGCGGUGAAAUGCGUAGAGAUCUGGAGGAAUACCGGUGGCGAAGGCGGCCCCCUGGACGAAGACUGACGCUCAGGUGCGAAAGCGUGGGGAGCAAAC